UGUGAAGCAGCUCUUUAAGGUUUUACACUGUACAGCUGCUGCAAGCAGAGAGAGACAAUGAGAGAAAGAGUGAGUGAGAGAAAGCAAAAUAGAGAGAGUGAAAGGAAAUAGGGAGAAGUCAUACCGCUUCUGGCACACAUCGGAUGUUAUUGCAGCAUGUAAACUGGGAAAACACUUAUGCAAUCUGAAUGUUUUGGAAUUUAAAGAGAAAUUUGGCACAGAUUCCAUGAAAAAAUGAAACACUACUACGUCUUCUGGGUCAUGACAGAUAAACCUCAAAGUAAUAAAAUUUCCUCUGAAAAAAACCCACAUGGAUCCUAUUAUCACACAUCUUUUAUGAAGUCUUUUCCAUUUCAAUUUUUAUGUGCAUAAGGUUCAAUGAUAAUUGCUUCAUUAUUUAAAGUAAGUAGUUGCGGAUUAUAAAUAUGACCAUACAUUUUUUUUCUUUCAAACUAAAACAUUGGCAUUGGAAAGUAAAUGUCCAUUAAAGUAAAAAUAUUUAUUGAAAAUAUGAUACAAUUUUUGUUUUAUGUAUUUAUGUUUUUAACAUAAUGUACCUUUAUGGAUUACCAGACAUGUUAACGCAAUGGAAUACUUUAUGUGGCCGAGACAGAA
Molecule: long non-coding RNA, 615 nt
Organism: Paramisgurnus dabryanus
Lineage: Eukaryota; Metazoa; Chordata; Actinopteri; Cypriniformes; Cobitidae
Source: RefSeq, a predicted model, not a curated record